RNAcentral lists this non-coding RNA (25 nucleotides) under Cricetulus griseus (Chinese hamster). The record is from RNAcentral. Lineage: Eukaryota; Metazoa; Chordata; Mammalia; Rodentia; Cricetidae.
GACAGGGAGCGCAGAUACUGGUCCA